This 253-nucleotide ribosomal RNA is filed under the name uncultured bacterium. Its description in RNAcentral is "partial 16S ribosomal RNA". It matches the Rfam family "Bacterial small subunit ribosomal RNA", at positions 524 to 776 of the family's 1533-position model. The record is from RNAcentral.
UACGUAGGGUGCGAGCGUUAAUCGGAAUUACUGGGCGUAAAGAGCACGCAGGUGGCUGAGUCAGUCGAUUGUGAAAGCCCUGGGCUUAACCUGGGAAUUGCAGUCGAUACUACUCAGCUAGAGUAUGGGAGAGGGCAGUGGAAUUCCCGGUGUAGCGGUGAAAUGCGUAGAGAUCGGGAGGAACACCUGUGGCGAAGGCGGCCGUCUGGGCCGACCCUGACGCUGAGGCGCGAAGGCGUGGGGAGCGAACGGG